Molecule: long non-coding RNA, 331 nt
Filed under: Capra hircus (goat)
Lineage: Eukaryota; Metazoa; Chordata; Mammalia; Artiodactyla; Bovidae
Description: lncRNA (ENSCHIG00000001724.1)
Source: RNAcentral
CGCCCGGCUCAGCAAGGCACCUGUGCUCAGUUUAGCCAAUGUUUAAACGGCGGCCUUCUCAGAUUCCGCUAUCCUGGAUCCUUACAUCUAUAGAUACUCUAAGACUGAUUUUGCAGUGGGCUGCUGGAAGCCCAAGCUGUUCUGCUUCCUUUCAGGACCUGGAAGGCCGUCUUCCCAGUGGGUUGCGUAUAACAGACAUUUUGGCCAGCUUUCAGGUACUUCAAGAAAUUGGGUUUUCCCAUUAUUCAAAGAAGAGAAACGGAGAUUGAGACCAAGUUAUCUCACAGUAUGUCUCCACCUACUAUAUAAGGAGGGACAAAAAAGCAGCCAC